ACAACCUCAAUUUAAGUGAGAUUACCCGCUGAACUUAAGCAUAUCAUUUAGCGGAGGA
This 58-nucleotide ribosomal RNA is filed under the name Steinernema abbasi. RNAcentral's name for it is "partial 28S ribosomal RNA". It matches the Rfam family "Eukaryotic large subunit ribosomal RNA", at positions 1 to 57 of the family's 3401-position model. Lineage: Eukaryota; Metazoa; Nematoda; Chromadorea; Rhabditida; Steinernematidae. The record is from RNAcentral.